Molecule: long non-coding RNA, 628 nt
Organism: Vespa mandarinia (Asian giant hornet)
Lineage: Eukaryota; Metazoa; Arthropoda; Insecta; Hymenoptera; Vespidae
Gene: spz
Source: RefSeq, a predicted model, not a curated record
UGUAGCGUUUAGUUGACGCUUCGAAUGGCAGAUAACAUAGAGAAACGUAAUAGAGACACUGAUAUACACAAACAUUUUACACAGAUGUCGCAAGAAACAAAAACUAUCAUAGAUCGUACUGAACACGAUUGGCACAGGUAGUUUGUUCAACAGUCUCCAACAGACAAGAGUGAGAACGGUCUAUGUGAGAGUUUCAUCAUCCUUUAUUUUACAUAAAUCACAUCUUUCAGGUAAAUCAAUAAAACCGUAAAACUACAAAAGAAAAAAAAGAAAGAAAGAAAGAGGACUUACGAAUUUUGGAAGUUGAUCGAUAACAUAUUGAUUGAAUUGAGAACAUCGACAACGAAUUUGAAGAAUGAUCGAUCGAAUAAAACUCGUCAUAAGUAGCGUCGAGUUUUCGAACAAAUCAUAACCGUAUCUUGGUCUUUGCGGUUUAACAUAUCCAAACCAAGGUCGGGGGCUAGUAAUAUCGUCUAUCGUUGCUUGAAAAGCUAACGAAGAAAGCCGAGUCGAUCAGUAACGGCGCUGACAGCAGGUAGAACGAAAGAACGGGAUUCAGAAGGACAAGCAUAGACAACGUUUAUAUCUCUACGAAAAUAAAGAGUAGAAGAAAGAAAAGAAAAAAGAA